CAGAGUUCAUGCCCUAACGGGUAGAUCUCCCACCCUAUGUUAUUAUAACUUUGUUGCUUUGGCGGGCCGCCUUUUGCUAGGCUACCGGCUUCGGCUGGUGAGCGCCCGCCAGAGGACCCCAAACUCUGAAUAUUAUUGUCGUCUGAGUACUAUAUAAUAGUUA
Molecule: unclassified non-coding RNA, 163 nt
Filed under: uncultured fungus
Lineage: Eukaryota; Fungi
Description: sequence contains ITS1, 5.8S rRNA gene
Source: RNAcentral